This 68-nucleotide ribosomal RNA is filed under the name uncultured bacterium. Its description in RNAcentral is "partial 16S ribosomal RNA". The record is from RNAcentral.
UGGACUUGACAUGUUAGUAGUACUGAACCGAAAGGGGAUGGACUUCGUUGUUAACGGAGAGCUAACAC